This 548-nucleotide ribosomal RNA is filed under the name uncultured Glomus. RNAcentral's name for it is "SSU rRNA". It matches the Rfam family "Eukaryotic small subunit ribosomal RNA", at positions 548 to 1098 of the family's 1831-position model. The record is from RNAcentral. Lineage: Eukaryota; Fungi; Glomeromycota; Glomeromycetes; Glomerales; Glomeraceae.
UUGGAGGGCAAGUCUGGUGCCAGCAGCCGCGGUAAUUCCAGCUCCAAUAGCGUAUAUUAAAGUUGUUGCAGUUAAAAAGCUCGUAGUUGAAUUUCGGGACCAAUUUGUUGGUCGUGCCUCGGUACGUACUGGUAUUAUUGGUUUCUCCCUUCUGAAGAACCUCGAUGCCAUUAAUUUGGUGUCGUGGGGAAUCAGGACUGUUGCUUUGAAAAAAUUAGAGUGUUUAAAGCAAGCAUACGCUUGAAUACAUUAGCAUGGAAUAAUGAAAUAGGACGUUUGAUUCUAUUUUGUUGGUUUCUAGGAUCGACGUAAUGAUUAAUAGGGAUAGUUGGGGGCAUUAGUAUUCAAUUGUCAGAGGUGAAAUUCUUGGAUUUAUUGAGGACUAACUACUGCGAAAGCAUUUGCCAAGGAUGUUUUCAUUAAUCAAGAACGAAAGUUAGGGGAUCGAAGACGAUCAGAUACCGUCGUAGUCUUAACCAUAAACUAUGCCGACUAGGGAUCGGAUGAUGUUAAUUUUUUAAUGACUCAUUCGGCGCCUUACGGGAAAC